This 328-nucleotide ribosomal RNA is filed under the name uncultured eukaryote. Its description in RNAcentral is "partial 18S ribosomal RNA". It matches the Rfam family "Eukaryotic small subunit ribosomal RNA", at positions 1470 to 1796 of the family's 1831-position model. The record is from RNAcentral.
CCCUUAGAUGUCCGGGGCUGCACGCGCGCUACACUGAAGGAAUCAGCGUGCUAAAACCAUUGUCGAAAGGCAUUGGUAAACCCAUUAAAAUCCUACGUGAUUGGGAUCGGGAAUUGCAAUUAUUUCCCUUGAACGAGGAAUUCCCAGUAAGUGUGGGUCAUAAGCUCGCGUUGAUUACGUCCCUGCCCUUUGUACACACCGCCCGUCGCUGCCCGGGACUGAGCCGUUUCGGGAAAAGCGGGGACUGCUGCUGUCGGGGCUUUCGGGCCUUGGCUUCGGUGGAAACCGCUUUAAUCGCAGUGGCUUGAACCGGGCAAAAGUCGUAACA